CGCGGGAUGGAGCAGUCUGGUAGCUCGUCGGGCUCAUANCCCGGAGGUCGCAGGUUCAAAUCCUGCUCCCGCCACUA
RNAcentral lists this transfer RNA (77 nucleotides) under Fidelibacterota bacterium. RNAcentral describes it as "tRNA-Met". It matches the Rfam family "tRNA". From Rfam's summary of the family: Transfer RNA (tRNA) molecules are approximately 80 nucleotides in length. Their secondary structure includes four short double-helical elements and three loops (D, anti-codon, and T loops). Further hydrogen bonds mediate the characteristic L-shaped molecular structure. tRNAs have two regions of fundamental functional importance: the anti-codon, which is responsible for specific mRNA codon recognition, and the 3' end, to which the tRNAs corresponding amino acid is attached (by aminoacyl-tRNA synthetases). tRNAs cope with the degeneracy of the genetic code in two manners: having more than one tRNA (with a specific anti-codon) for a particular amino acid; and 'wobble' base-pairing, i.e. permitting non-standard base-pairing at the 3rd anti-codon position. The record is from RNAcentral. Lineage: Bacteria; Pseudomonadati; Fidelibacterota.